GCACCCCGCCGGCCCUGAAAUGGAGUGGCGGCCCGUCCGCGGCGACCUCUGCGCAGUACAAGCACUCGCACCGGGAACCCGACGCGGCCCGCCGUGAAACCCCCAACCUCUGAACGUUGACCUCGGAUCAGGUAGGACU
RNAcentral lists this ribosomal RNA (139 nucleotides) under Cordyceps tenuipes. RNAcentral describes it as "partial 28S ribosomal RNA". The record is from RNAcentral. Lineage: Eukaryota; Fungi; Ascomycota; Sordariomycetes; Hypocreales; Cordycipitaceae.